GAUGAACGCUGGCGGCGUGCCUAAUACAUGCAAGUCGAGCGAACGGACGAGAAGCUUGCUUCUCUGAUGUUAGCGGCGGACGGGUGAGUAACACGUGGAUAACCUACCUAUAAGACUGGGGUAACUUCGGGAAACCGGAGCUAAUACCGGAUAAUAUUUUGAACCGCAUGGUUCAAAAGUGAAAGACGGUCUUGCUGUCACUUAUAGAUGGAUCCGCGCUGCAUUAGCUAGUUGGUAAGGUAACGGCUUACCAAGGCAACGAUGCAUAGCCGACCUGAGAGGGUGAUCGGCCACACUGGAACUGAGACACGGUCCAGACUCCUACGGGAGGCAGCAGUAGGGAAUCUUCCGCAAUGGGCGAAAGCCUGACGGAGCAACGCCGCGUGAGUGAUGAAGGUCUUCGGAUCGUAAAACUCUGUUAUUAGGGAAGAACAUAUGUGUAAGUAACUGUGCACAUCUUGACGGUACCUAAUCAGAAAGCCACGGCUAACUACGUGCCAGCAGCCGCGGUAAUACGUAGGUGGCAAGCGUUAUCCGGAAUUAUUGGGCGUAAAGCGCGCGUAGGCGGUUUUUUAAGUCUGAUGUGAAAGCCCACGGCUCAACCGUGGAGGGUCAUUGGAAACUGGAAAACUUGAGUGCAGAAGAGGAAAGUGGAAUUCCAUGUGUAGCGGUGAAAUGCGCAGAGAUAUGGAGGAACACCAGUGGCGAAGGCGACUUUCUGGUCUGUAACUGACGCUGAUGUGCGAAAGCGUGGGGAUCAAACAGGAUUAGAUACCCUGGUAGUCCACGCCGUAAACGAUGAGUGCUAAGUGUUAGGGGGUUUCCGCCCCUUAGUGCUGCAGCUAACGCAUUAAGCACUCCGCCUGGGGAGUACGACCGCAAGGUUGAAACUCAAAGGAAUUGACGGGGACCCGCACAAGCGGUGGAGCAUGUGGUUUAAUUCGAAGCAACGCGAAGAACCUUACCAAAUCUUGACAUCCUUUGACAACUCUAGAGAUAGAGCUUUCCCCUUCGGGGGACAAAGUGACAGGUGGUGCAUGGUUGUCGUCAGCUCGUGUCGUGAGAUGUUGGGUUAAGUCCUGCAACGAGCGCAACCCUUAAGCUUAGUUGCCAUCAUUAAGUUGGGCACUCUAAGUUGACUGCCGGUGACAAACCGGAGGAAGGUGGGGAUGACGUCAAAUCAUCAUGCCCCUUAUGAUUUGGGCUACACACGUGCUACAAUGGACAAUACAAAGGGCAGCGAAACCGCGAGGUCAAGCAAAUCCCAUAAAGUUGUUCUCAGUUCGGAUUGUAGUCUGCAACUCGACUACAUGAAGCUGGAAUCGCUAGUAAUCGUAGAUCAGCAUGCUACGGUGAAUACGUUCCCGGGUCU
Molecule: ribosomal RNA, 1372 nt
Filed under: uncultured bacterium
Lineage: Bacteria
Description: bacterial SSU rRNA
Rfam family: Bacterial small subunit ribosomal RNA
Source: RNAcentral